RNAcentral lists this transfer RNA (71 nucleotides) under Carinotetraodon lorteti (redeye puffer). RNAcentral describes it as "tRNA-Val". It matches the Rfam family "tRNA". From Rfam's summary of the family: Transfer RNA (tRNA) molecules are approximately 80 nucleotides in length. Their secondary structure includes four short double-helical elements and three loops (D, anti-codon, and T loops). Further hydrogen bonds mediate the characteristic L-shaped molecular structure. tRNAs have two regions of fundamental functional importance: the anti-codon, which is responsible for specific mRNA codon recognition, and the 3' end, to which the tRNAs corresponding amino acid is attached (by aminoacyl-tRNA synthetases). tRNAs cope with the degeneracy of the genetic code in two manners: having more than one tRNA (with a specific anti-codon) for a particular amino acid; and 'wobble' base-pairing, i.e. permitting non-standard base-pairing at the 3rd anti-codon position. The record is from RNAcentral. RNAcentral also lists the same sequence under 1 other name. Lineage: Eukaryota; Metazoa; Chordata; Actinopteri; Tetraodontiformes; Tetraodontidae.
CAGGGCAUAGCUCAAUAGAAAAGCACCUCCCUUACACCGAGGAGACAUUCGUGCAACUCGAAUUGCUCUGA